This 2622-nucleotide long non-coding RNA is filed under the name Homo sapiens (human). Its description in RNAcentral is "HSALNT0037354". The record is from RNAcentral. Lineage: Eukaryota; Metazoa; Chordata; Mammalia; Primates; Hominidae.
GUGUGACAUUUACAUAGCCCAGGGAAGGCUGGCCACCCUACCCUAAUCUUAUUAUGUAACUGAACUUUCCCCUUGGCCAGGGCCAUCUUGUCUGCUCCUUACUGUACAUGUGGCUGGCAGAGAAGGGAAGGUGGAGCCGCUAUUUUGAACAUGAUUGGCACAACUGCCAGCAUCUAUAUCUGCAGCUUGAUUUUACAGGCUGCUCUUUGUUAGAAAGGAACAUGAUUUGGGGCUACUUUUCAUUAAAAGGAAAACUGUACCGAAGACUUCCAUACCCUCACUAUCUGUGGAAUCCCUGGAAAGAAAUGAAGCUUCACACUCAGAAUAUCACAUUUAGUGAUUUCAGGAGACCAGCAGAAUAGGAAUUAAGCUGGAACUCCUAUACAGUUUAUUUUCUAGGUUUGGGACCUCUGCGUACCUCCUGUGGCUUUAUGGUACCUGGUAUUGUUUCCCCAGACCAUGAGUCUCCAGUGUUGGAGUGCCCACUUCAGAAGUCUGUGUGUUUUGCUUCAUCCUGAGGAUCCCAUCUUGGAUACCACAUUACCUUAAACACUGCCUCAGCCAGGUGAUCAAGGUCAACGUCUACUGUGAUAAGUCAUGGUUUUGGUGUGUACCCUUGAUGUGAUGUGAUAAAAAUGGCACUUUACCUCUGUGGUCUUCCUCUGAAAAAUCCCGUAACAGCAGCCUAAUCAUGAGAAGCAUAUCAACAAAACUCAGACUCAGGGACAUUCUACAAAAUACCAGGCUGUCCCUCCCUGAAAUUGUCAAGUUCACCAAAAACAAGGUGAAUCUAAGAAACCUGUUACAGCCAAGAGGAGCCUAAGAAGACAUGAGGACUAAAUAUAACAUGGAAUUCGGGAUAGGAUUGUGCUACAGAAAAUGUAUGUGCUAAUGUGAGAUGUUAACAGUUGGAGAAACUCAGUUUUGGGUAUAAGGAAUUCUCUGUACUAUGUUUAUCUAAAAACAAUUCCAUGGUGAGCAAACUUAAGCAUAGAAAUGUUAAAUAAAUUGUCCAAAAUAGAGAAGUAAAUAGCAGUGCCAGGUUUCAAGCAUAAGAAUCAUCAACUCUGAACUUUAAACACAGCUCUGUAUGGUACUUUUGUUUAUAUCAAUGCCUAGAUAGAUAAAUAGGUAGAUAGAUAAUUUCCAAGUGCUAGAAACAAAAAAGGAACUAAAACUGAUAAAGAAUAUAAAUGAGGCCAGGCAGGGUGGCUCACACCUGUAAUCCCAGCAUUUUGGGAGGCCGAGGCAGGCAGAUCACUGAAGGUUCGGAGUUCAAGACCAGCCUGGCCAACUGGGGAAACCCUGUCUCUACUAAAAAAAAAAAAAAAUAGCCAGGCAUGGUGGCAUGUGCCUGUGAAGCAAGAGAUGUGAGAGGAAAAACAAAUUUUUCCUCUUUCUUUUGGUAUGGGCAGCUUCCCCCUUGAAUCCCUCCUCACUCCUUGUGAUUUUACCCUGCUCUGUAAGUUUUAUGAGUUUAUAGAUUCCUGUUUUCUGUAACUAGUGUCUGUAAGUCUCUGUAGCACCGUGGAGGUAAUGAGACAUGCUUGAGCAAGCUUAGAUUGCAGCCAUCUGGGCGCCAUAGCGAAGGACACGAGAUAAGGCUGUGCAGGCAUCUUGAGCAAACCUAGAUAACAGCCACCUGGCCUGCACAGCAAGAAUCAUGUGUAAGCUUGAGUUAGGAACCUGUCACAGUUUGAUUAACUGCCUUUGUUCUGCUUCUGUAAGCUUGCUUUCCACACCCCACAAGCUUUGCGCCACUGGCAAGCCACCCUCCUUCAGUUGCAUGAAUAAAAGUCAAGCCCUGUCUUCUUUUGUUGCUCAGCCUCUGGAUAUUAAUCCACUAAGCCAGUGGCAACCUAAAUAAAAUCCUCCUGUUCCACCCAUCUGGUCUCUCCAGUCUCCUCAUUCCUGCAACACCUGCAAUCCCAGCUACAUGGGAGGCUGAGGCAGGAGAAUCACUUGAACCUGGGAGGCAGAGGGCACAGUGAGCCAAGAUGGUGCCACUGCACUCCAUCCUGGGUGACAGAGAGAGACUCAGUCUCAAAAAAAAAAAAAAAAAGAAUAUAAGUGAAUGUUGACCUCAUGGGGACUCACUGGUGUUUCAGACAUCAAGACUAUAGGCUAGAGUUCAAGACCCAGUGAGGAGAUGUGAUAUGAUUUUGUGUGAGGCAAGCAUCAAAAGCAGACACCUGUGUGUAAAGCCCAGAGAUCUGAAGAGCUAACCUGUCUGUGAAAAGGGAAUUAGAUAAAACACAGGCUACCAGUUCACAGAUGCUAGAGAGAGCUUGCUGUCAGCCUAGGGGGAAUUCUCACCAACUGAAAAAUUCCUAUCAGUGUUCAAUGACAUACGACAUUCAUAGAGAUUCUGAAUUGCCCAAGGAGUUUCCAAAUUGUAAUUCUAAUCCAUGAGUUUUGGGCAAUUUAGUGGCUUUGUGAUAAGAAAGGGGAAAUGCAAAACUUCUCUUGUAAGACUCGUGGUGUGAGCUGGUCCUGAAGUUCUUGAUCAUUUUGUUAGCACCCAAACUGGUUUGUCAACAAACUUUGAGAGUCAAAAGCUUGAGAGACAUGCACAUCAAAGACCAUGACAAAAAGGGAAGAAAAGCAACAACAGCACAGAAG